AGCCUUCUGUAUCCGUGCUGAGAUUUCGUCACACACCAGACCACAAGGGCUGAUGAAAAUUCCAAGAUAUAUGAAGCG
RNAcentral lists this microRNA precursor (78 nucleotides) under Schistosoma margrebowiei. RNAcentral describes it as "mir-3492 microRNA precursor family". It matches the Rfam family "mir-3492 microRNA precursor family". The record is from Rfam by way of RNAcentral. Lineage: Eukaryota; Metazoa; Platyhelminthes; Trematoda; Strigeidida; Schistosomatidae.